ACUAAACAGCCGUCGUGGAAACUUUACACCUUCUGUGGAGACGUUCGCGUGGUCAUAAUCCCCAGCGUCAAACCUGUUGCUCUUCGCACCCUACGCUUCGACGCAUACAAUGGUCGGAGCCUCACUACUCCCUCGACCUCCACAGCACGCCGCACCCUAGCUUUUGGCUCUCAAUUUGCUUAUAGGCUUUAUUUGCUAUCUUUUCAUAUCCGUAAGUUAGAUCGUACAACUAGUUCGACUAUCGAAUCUAAGGAGCUGACGUGGACCCAGAUGGCUACGCUGAAGCCGCGGAAAAUCUUAAGGCGCAAGGCAAGACAUAACUAA
Molecule: long non-coding RNA, 324 nt
Filed under: Oryza sativa Indica Group (long-grained rice)
Lineage: Eukaryota; Viridiplantae; Streptophyta; Magnoliopsida; Poales; Poaceae
Also listed under: 1 other name
Description: lncRNA OsZS97_09G002070
Source: RNAcentral